Molecule: ribosomal RNA, 355 nt
Filed under: uncultured bacterium
Lineage: Bacteria
Description: bacterial SSU rRNA
Rfam family: Bacterial small subunit ribosomal RNA
Source: RNAcentral
CUAGCGACUUCAGAGUUUGAUCCUGGCUCAGGAUGAACGCUGGCGGCGUGCCUAACACAUGCAAGUCGAACGAAGCGAUUUAACGGAAGUUUUCGGAUGGAAGUUGAAUUGACUGAGUGGCGGACGGGUGAGUAACGCGUGGGUAACCUGCCUCAUACAGGGGGAUAACAGUUAGAAAUGACUGCUAAUACCGCAUAAGCGCACAGGACCGCAUGGUCCGGUGUGAAAAACUCCGGUGGUAUGAGAUGGACCCGCGUCUGAUUAGCUAGUUGGUGGGGUAACGGCCUACCAAGGCGACGAUCAGUAGCCGACCUGAGAGGGUGACCGGCCACAUUGGGACUGAGACACGGCCCAA